This 393-nucleotide ribosomal RNA is filed under the name Cryptosporidium parvum. RNAcentral describes it as "SSU rRNA". It matches the Rfam family "Eukaryotic small subunit ribosomal RNA", at positions 667 to 1064 of the family's 1831-position model. The record is from RNAcentral. Lineage: Eukaryota; Apicomplexa; Conoidasida; Eucoccidiorida; Cryptosporidiidae.
UUAAUAAUUUAUAUAAAAUAUUUUGAUGAAUAUUUAUAUAAUAUUAACAUAAUUCAUAUUACUAUAUAUUUUAGUAUAUGAAAUUUUACUUUGAGAAAAUUAGAGUGCUUAAAGCAGGCAUAUGCCUUGAAUACUCCAGCAUGGAAUAAUAUUAAAGAUUUUUAUCUUUCUUAUUGGUUCUAAGAUAAGAAUAAUGAUUAAUAGGGACAGUUGGGGGCAUUUGUAUUUAACAGUCAGAGGUGAAAUUCUUAGAUUUGUUAAAGACAAACUAAUGCGAAAGCAUUUGCCAAGGAUGUUUUCAUUAAUCAAGAACGAAAGUUAGGGGAUCGAAGACGAUCAGAUACCGUCGUAGUCUUAACCAUAAACUAUGCCAACUAGAGAUUGGAGGUUGUU